RNAcentral lists this non-coding RNA (89 nucleotides) under Pseudomonas sp. M47T1. Lineage: Bacteria; Pseudomonadati; Pseudomonadota; Gammaproteobacteria; Pseudomonadales; Pseudomonadaceae. The record is from RNAcentral.
CUCCAUGGUGACUGUGCGAGGGGCACCCACGGGUGCGCCGGGUUUUUCCUUUGGACCGGUCCGUCAACCCCCGCGCAGUUGCCACCCAU